AAUGCUUAAGACAGUGAUUCUCACCUCUCUGAAUCUAGAAUCUCUGUGGGAGCUUUAAUAAAUACUGCUACCUAGGCUUCAACCCACAGAGAUUCUGAUUAAGUUGGUUCUGAUUCUAUUGUGUUAGCAAAGUUCCCAUAUAGUUACAAAUCUACUUACUUUGUUGCUACCCAGUUCAGAAUCCCUGGGGAAUUCUCAAUCCAUGGUUGAGAGCCAUGACUUAAAAGAUUGUGGUCCAACUUCAAACUGAAGAAUGUAAGUCACUUUCCAAGAUACUUUUCAUGUCCUGCAUGAGAACUUAGAGUUUAGUGGAUUCAUGCAAACAACUUGGAGGCUCAACGCAGCAGUCUGAGCAAGAUGUGUGUGCUCUGCAUCCAUCAUGUGGUCUUUCAUGCUGACUUGGAGAGUGAAAGACUACAGGAUGCCCCCAUGAGUAUCCACAUAAGUACAACCCAAAUAUGGAAUGAAGGUUUGAACAAUGGAGGAUGGGAACUAGAGAAGAUUCCUUUCCCCAAAGAGACUGUCCUGAAAAGCAAUUGUAGGAAGGUCAUCUCUCAAUAUCAAACAGUCAUGCUCUAUAUGAAGUAGUGGCCAACUUCAUAACACAUCCUCAACAGGAUUGUACACUUCUAAAUAAAACUCAGUCCUGAAUAGUACUGCCUAGGUUUUCUUCUAGGGUUUUUAUAGUUUGGGGUUUGACAUUUAAG
RNAcentral lists this long non-coding RNA (707 nucleotides) under Macaca mulatta (Rhesus monkey). Its description in RNAcentral is "lncRNA (ENSMMUG00000039125.2)". Lineage: Eukaryota; Metazoa; Chordata; Mammalia; Primates; Cercopithecidae. The record is from RNAcentral.